This 465-nucleotide ribosomal RNA is filed under the name uncultured bacterium. RNAcentral's name for it is "partial 16S ribosomal RNA". It matches the Rfam family "Bacterial small subunit ribosomal RNA", at positions 28 to 507 of the family's 1533-position model. The record is from RNAcentral.
GACGAACGCUGGCGGCGUGCUUAACACAUGCAAGUCGAACGGAAAGGCCAUGCUCGCAGGGUACUCGCGUGGCGAACGGGUGAGUAACACGCGGGUGAUCUGCCCUGCACUUAGGGAUAAGCUUGGGCAACUGGGCCUAAUACCGGAUAGGUAACAUCUUUAGCGUGGUGGUUGGAAAGUUUUUUCGGUGUAGGAUGAGAUCGCGGCCUAUCAGCUCGUUGGUGGGGUAAUGGCCUACCAAGGCGGCGACGGGUAGCCGGCCUGAGAGGGUGUACGGCCACAUUGGGACUGAGAGACGGCCCAGACUCCUACGGGAGGCAGCAGUGGGGAAUAUUGCACAAUGGGCGCAAGCCUGAUGCAGCGACGCCGCGUGGGGGAUGAAGGCCUUCGGGUUGUAAACUCCUUUCGCUAGGGACGAAGCUUUUUGUGACGGUACCUAGAUAAGAAGCACCGGCUAACUACGUG